RNAcentral lists this transfer RNA (72 nucleotides) under Fukomys damarensis (Damara mole-rat). It matches the Rfam family "tRNA". From Rfam's summary of the family: Transfer RNA (tRNA) molecules are approximately 80 nucleotides in length. Their secondary structure includes four short double-helical elements and three loops (D, anti-codon, and T loops). Lineage: Eukaryota; Metazoa; Chordata; Mammalia; Rodentia; Bathyergidae. The record is from Rfam by way of RNAcentral.
GGUGAUGUAGCUCAGUGGUAGAGCACUUGCUUAGUAUGCACAAGGCCCUGGGUUGAAUCUCCAGCACUUCCC